AUUAAUGCUAAUUCAUAUUUGUUGUACAUUUAUAGCAGACAAGCCAAUGUAAAUGGUCAAUUACACUUAACCACAACAGAUUCGAAAUUUUCUCUUGGUCUAGGUCUAUGCUGUGAAGUCAGAUAUUACUGCUUGAUGUGAAUCACCAACCAGAAUUGACCUAGGAAAAUGGUUAAACUCCAAGGAAUUGCGUUCACCUUGGGUCAUCCUGAUGCAAACUGAAUGCAAUCAUAUGGGGCUGACACCAUCAAGUGUCUUCCUUGAGGCAGCUCAACAUGGCGUUGCCCCUCACCGAUGAUUACUUUCAUGAUGUAGCACUUUCGAUAGUGAAUUACAUAAAUGCUCACUACAGAUUGAUUCUGGCACUGGAGGUCAAGAUGGAGUGCCGAUUUCUCCUGGCUGAAGGGAGGAAAGAGGUUGCAUUGGAUAAACGUCUAUGAGCAGAAGACCAAAAGAUAUAAUAAUAAUCCUUGCAUUUGAUAUAGUGCCUUAUCAUAUUGUUAACACAUCUCAAAGCGCUUCACAGAAUAUGCUGCAAAGUGAAUUGACUGUACAUUUUUGGGGCUUGAUAUCCUCACGUUAAUGUUACAGAAACACACCCAGUAUCAACAUCGAAAAAAGGAAUUAUGGUUGCACACACAUCAUUAGCGUAUGAUGCAAAAACAUUGAGAAAAAGAUGUAUAUGUACCACAAUGGUUGCCAAGAAAAUGCCAUUUCACAAUUACGUUGUUCUCAGCAACAACAGCCAUCAUUUAGGCCACCCAAGAUUUUUAAUGAUCAGCUGUUUUAUUCAAAGAAUUAGGACGUCCGUGACAUAAUGAUUUAAGUUCCAGUCUACAGUGGACCUUGUCAUGUAAUCUUGAAAAAUGAAAACGCACAUGUUAAUUCUGUACAAACUAAUUGGUACAAAUUUAUCACCGUCGUAUGGAUAUUCAUGAAUACCGUUUGAAUAAAUAAAGCAACAGCAGCCGUGUGUCU
Molecule: long non-coding RNA, 978 nt
Organism: Callorhinchus milii (elephant shark)
Lineage: Eukaryota; Metazoa; Chordata; Chondrichthyes; Chimaeriformes; Callorhinchidae
Exons: 3
Source: RefSeq, a predicted model, not a curated record